UAUGCAUUUCACACUUUUGAGUGUGUGGAAAAAUAAAAAGUUUACAUCCAUGUGGGUCGGCUCGGCAUUGCCCAUAAAAUCAACAAAACUAAAAUAUAUGAAAAACUGAAAACUAAAAUAAAUUCAAAACAAAACGAAUCUCAAAUAGGAAUUCCUAAAGAGAAUGCCAAAAAAGAUACUUGUAACACACUUGGCCACGGAUGGGCAGAGACCGAGCAAGACCCUGAUCCUGUUCAUCUUUGCGAUGGCCAUUUGCAUGAAGCUUGGCAUCAUUGUGAUGGAGUUGAUGAUCUGAUCUAAGCGAGAUAAUUACCUGCAAAGAAAGAAGAAAAUAGGUUACCAAAUUAGUCACAAUUUCGUUUAAUCUUUACUCUAAUGCAUGCCCCGAUAAAAGACAACAAAGAAGAAGGCAUAAAAGAAAGGAAAUGUCGAAAAGGUGCUGGAAGAAGUAUCGAAAAGGGACUGCGAGAGCUGUGAAAACUGAUCCCAAAGUCAAGUGCAGUUUUGGGUUCGAUGGUAAAUGCAUCUCGGAUUACAUCAAGGGUAAGCAGCAGCUACUUUCCUUUCCCUUCGAGAAAAGGUCUCUCAUUAUUAGCCUACCUUUUGCCUUUUCAACAUUUGACUUUUUCCCAUUUUCCUUGCAGGCAAAACCACGAAACGAUGGAGGGGACAAGGACAAAAACAAGAACGAGGCGAAACCGCAAACAUAAUUUCAUUUUUCCUGCUGUGCAAAACACUGAAAAUAAUUUGACAACUUACUUAAAAAUAUGUCACAUGAAGAAGGUCCAGGACAUGGCCCCACACAAGCGGAAGGAAAAAAGGGUUUGCCCCGCUCUCGCUUUGCUGCAAAAUCAAAAUGAAAAUCCAGCAACGUGAACUUUUUGUAUUUUGUAUUAAAAGCUGUCAAGCGCAACAAAAAAA
This 921-nucleotide long non-coding RNA is filed under the name Drosophila guanche. The record is from RNAcentral. Lineage: Eukaryota; Metazoa; Arthropoda; Insecta; Diptera; Drosophilidae.